CUUGCUGACAAUGCAGGUUCUGAUUCAGCAGCUGUGCAGUGCGGAGCUGAGAUUCCGAAUUUCGAAUGAGGCCUCAGGUGGUACCAGUGCUGCUGGUCCAUGAACCACACCUGGCAUCAAAGGGCCUAGGAACUGCUCCUUGGCCUUCUUGUAGAGAACCUGUGUGGAGAUGUUGCAGGAUGUCACCUCUGCUUUACUGCUAGCCAAAUAGCACCACAGGGCUGUCCUUGGCUUUGUUCAGCCCCACAGCGGACUUGACCUAGGGUUUUCUGACCACCAUCAGAUGAGCCUUGGCUUGAGGGAAUUUCCCAGCAGCUCAGGACCAGGUCUGGCAGUUUACAAUUAUUAGAGAAGUUCCGUGUAAGAAGGGUGGACGGCCUCCAAAACAACAGCUAAGCUGCCAGGCCAUUCGGACCUGCGAAAAUGAGCACUUGGUCAGGACUGAAUGAAUCUUGCGUUCUGGUCGCCUGCGCAUGAGGAGUCUGCACCUUUGAACUCUGCCCAGCACAUCCAUUUGGCCAGCCUGAUGUGGCCAUCAUCUCCAGGAUGCUCAGAUAGAGUGGCAGAUUUGGUCCUUGUUUUCCAUGGAUAGAUUUGCUCAAAGAAACAAACCUAGGAAAAUCUGAACAAGCACCUUCUGAAAAUGAACUAACACUGGCCUCCUCCAACUUGUGCACCUGGCUGGGGAUCUUCCUGCGGCUGUCCCUGAGGGCUGGCCAUUAUCUUGCUGCCCCCCCACCCCAGGCAGAAGUAAGGCAGUGUGUAGCCAUCCUGCUACAAACAAGCCGCAUGCAUUCACCAUCGCUGGAGAAACAAAUUGUCAGCAAAUGGCCUAUUCAGAAUGAGUUUGCAACUCAUCAUCUGUCUCAGAAACCAGGAAAUCUCUGAGGUGGCCCAGCACAAAAGGAUGCAAAUGAUGAAGGGUCAACAGCAGAUGCUGAAUAAUGGAGUGAGAACAAAUAGCAUUCAGGGGCUUCGUGUUUUUUGUGUCUCCCACAAAUGGUGCCUCAUUCUUCCCACAUCAUUUUCAUUUUCAACCGUUCCAUUUUCACGUCCAAGAGAAGUGCGAGGGGCAUCUGGAGUGAUUUCCGCUCGAGGUUGGCUGCCCUUGGAUGGCAGUGAGCCUCUGCUCCUUUGCAGAAUAGUGACGUGUCUGCAAAGCGUUGUGAUAGCCAGCCCAUCCUGCCGCAUGUUGCAGAGAUGGAUAUAUUGUCCUGCUGAGUGGAUGUGAUUGCACUGACUUAAAGUUUGCAGAACAAUUUAAAAUCCUAAAUGAAGAAAAGGGGGACUUACCAGAGUUGUCACUGACCUUGAGCUUGAAGACACACAACUGGAUCUAUGAUUUUUAUUAAAGGAAGACCAUUUUCUGGUGUCAGAAACCAAGGAGAAAACAUGAUACACAUACACACCCACACCCCUCGCCCCUCUGCAUGUGAGGGGGAAGUGAAGUACCGGCGGGGGGCCUGCCUUGGCUGGGACACGAGAGAGGAGGGAAACUUGAGCAUUGACACAAAACUGCAGAUAUAAUAACAUUGAGGUUAACCUGCCCCUAUGUUGACUGAAUUUUUCUUCUUUUACAUGACAUAAUAAUGACAAAAAUAACAACAUUUAAUGAAGACUGUUCCAAGGACUAUUCUAAGAGCUUCAUAGAAUGAUCUUAUUUGAUCCUCCUAAUUACU
Equus asinus (donkey) is the source of this 1679-nucleotide long non-coding RNA. The record is from Ensembl. Lineage: Eukaryota; Metazoa; Chordata; Mammalia; Perissodactyla; Equidae.